AGCAAGAUGCCAACUUUAAUGCCAAUUUAUUUGUGUAACAUUCUGUGACCAAAUGUAUAGAUAACUUUUUGUAGAUUGUAAAAAUAGAUAACCCAUUUAUUACAAAAAAACUACACUAGAAUUAUCGCACUGCGUUGUAUGACUCCGCUAACCAGAGCAGUGUCCGUCUACAUAUUUCUACAUAUUUUCUCUCAUAUAAAUGACACUGUAUCUCUUGACAACUGAAACCAUAAGAUGAGGUCAGUGUGGCCUUGACCUUUUUACUUUAAGACAAAUACAAAGUUAGACAAUCCGAAAACAUGCAGUUAUGCCUCCGGCGACUCGCUAUUGCAGAGGCAUUAAAACCGUAGUGUAGUAGAUUGGAUUUUAUUGGUGUUACAUUGGACAUCUUGUAUGGGUACACCAAAAAAUAUAUUUGGUUUCACAUUCUAGAUGGCAAUAAGCAGAGUCAUCAACUCAGGAAAAAUAUUUCUGUAGAAAAGAAAGCCUUGUAUGUGUGUAUGUAUACAUACACACAAACGCACAAUUGAGACGUUUUUGUCUUUUAUCAUAUAUUCUCAGGCAGUACUGAUGCAUUUACUGAGACGGGACGUGAGGGCCUACUCUGCGUGCUCAGAGUUCAAGCCCAGCAGGCUGCAGCGGGCCUGACAUAUUCUGGAACAGCAGCACAGUCUUUGGAUGACUCCUCUGAAGAUGAAAACAUGGCGAGUUCUUCUCAAGAGAAGCAGUACAGGUGUGCCUCAGCUCCACGGUCCCUCCUGCAGCCUCCGCUCCUGAUGCUAACCUCAUGUCUCCAUCACACCAAGCAGCAGACCUGGAUUUACAGACCUUUCUCCAGAGCUGCCCCCUCCCUCUGAAACCCCCCUCUCCAAAACACUAUUUGUGUAGUUUUUAAAGUAUUUUUUGCAUGAGAAUUGUUGAUCAUAACAUUUCCAGCAGAUGCCUUAAUAUAAUGUUUGUGCACAAUAAAUGACAUUGAUCAAUAA
This is a long non-coding RNA of Pleuronectes platessa (European plaice), 986 nucleotides long. RefSeq lists it as uncharacterized. The record is from RefSeq and is a predicted model, not a curated record. Lineage: Eukaryota; Metazoa; Chordata; Actinopteri; Pleuronectiformes; Pleuronectidae. The transcript has 2 exons.